CCUACGGGAGGCUGCAGUGGGGAAUAUUGCACAAUGGGGGAAACCCUGAUGCAGCGACGCCGCGUGAGCGAGGAAGUAUUUCGGUAUGUAAAGCUCUAUCAGCAGGGACGACAAAAGACGGUACCUGACUCAGAAGCCCCGGCUAACUACGUGCCAGCAGCCGCGGUCAUACGGAGGGGGCAAGCGUUAUCCGGAUUUACUGGGGGUAAAGGGAGCGUAGACGGCAAGGCAAGCCAGAAGGGAAAGGGCAGGGCUCAACCCGGGACAGGCUUUUGGAACUGUGGUGCUAGAGUGCAGGAGAGGUAAGUGGAAUUCCGGGUGUAGCGGUGAAAUGCGUAGAGAUUAGGAGGAACACCAGUGGCGAAGGCGGCUUACUGGACUGAAACUGACGUUGAGGCUCGAAAGCGUGGGGAGCAAACAGGAUUAGAUACCCUAGUAGUC
Molecule: ribosomal RNA, 441 nt
Filed under: uncultured bacterium
Lineage: Bacteria
Description: partial 16S ribosomal RNA
Rfam family: Bacterial small subunit ribosomal RNA
Source: RNAcentral